ACUCAAAUGAAUUGACGGGGACCCGCACAAGCGGUGGAGCGUGUGGUUUAAUUCGAUGGUACGCGAAGAACCUUACCAGGGCUUGACAUCCUCGGAACCCCACAGAAAUGUGGGGGUACCCGCAAGGGACCGAGAGACAGGUGAUGCAUGGCCGUCGUCAGCUCGUGUCGUGAGAUGUAGGGUUAAGUCCCUCAACGAGCGCAACCCUCGUCGCAAGUUAGAUUUGUCUUGUGAGACAGCCUCGGUAACGGGGAGGAAGGAGAGGAUGACGUCUGGUCCGCAUUUCCCUUAUGCUCUGGGCCACACACACGCUACAAUGGCCGGUACAAUGGGUCGCUACGCCGCGAGGCUUUAGCUAAUCCUAGUAAAAGCCGGUCUCAGUUCGGAUUGCAGGCUGAAACCCGCCUGCAUGAAGCUGGAAUCGCUAGUAACUGUGGGUCAGCACACCACAGUGAAUACGUUCCCGGGUCUUGUACACACCGCCCGU
RNAcentral lists this ribosomal RNA (487 nucleotides) under uncultured bacterium. RNAcentral describes it as "partial 16S ribosomal RNA". It matches the Rfam family "Bacterial small subunit ribosomal RNA", at positions 899 to 1397 of the family's 1533-position model. The record is from RNAcentral.